GCACUUUUUUAUUUUAGUACUCUGUGGUUUAAAGUGUAUCAAGUUAGUACCUUGUGGUUUCGCACUUUUUCACUUUAGUACCCUGUGGUUUCAAGUGUAUCAAGUUAGUACUCUGUGAUUUUAUUUUUGUAUCAAGUUAGUACUCUGUGGUUUUAUUUUUGUAUUAAGUUAGUACCAUGUGGUUUUAUUUUUCUCCAAAUGAAAUAUUAAACUACAGGGUACUAAAGUGAGAAAGUGCGAAACCACAGGGUACUAACUUGAUACACUUUAAACCAUAAGAUACUAAAGUAAGAAAAA
This 297-nucleotide long non-coding RNA is filed under the name Ananas comosus (pineapple). RNAcentral describes it as "long non-coding RNA (ACOM_LNC026234)". The record is from RNAcentral. Lineage: Eukaryota; Viridiplantae; Streptophyta; Magnoliopsida; Poales; Bromeliaceae.